GUUCCUGUAGUUGAAUUUCAACGGCGAUUUUUCAGGUCGAGGGUCUUGGUUAAAAUCCAGGCGGGAACU
Molecule: transfer RNA, 69 nt
Filed under: Hirundo rustica (Barn swallow)
Lineage: Eukaryota; Metazoa; Chordata; Aves; Passeriformes; Hirundinidae
Description: tRNA-Glu
Rfam family: tRNA
About the family: Transfer RNA (tRNA) molecules are approximately 80 nucleotides in length. Their secondary structure includes four short double-helical elements and three loops (D, anti-codon, and T loops). Further hydrogen bonds mediate the characteristic L-shaped molecular structure. tRNAs have two regions of fundamental functional importance: the anti-codon, which is responsible for specific mRNA codon recognition, and the 3' end, to which the tRNAs corresponding amino acid is attached (by aminoacyl-tRNA synthetases). tRNAs cope with the degeneracy of the genetic code in two manners: having more than one tRNA (with a specific anti-codon) for a particular amino acid; and 'wobble' base-pairing, i.e. permitting non-standard base-pairing at the 3rd anti-codon position.
Source: RNAcentral